Molecule: microRNA precursor, 53 nt
Filed under: Triops cancriformis
Lineage: Eukaryota; Metazoa; Arthropoda; Branchiopoda; Notostraca; Triopsidae
Description: microRNA tcf-mir-125 precursor
Gene: tcf-mir-125
Source: miRBase by way of RNAcentral
UCCCUGAGACCCUAACUUGUGAUAGCAAUCUCACAGGCUAGCUUCUCAGGUAU